GAGGUGGGCAAGUUAGUUGCUCCAAAUACAAGAUAAAGUGAUUGAGUUCUUUUCUCAAGCGGGAGUCGGAGUUUAUCCACUCUUAGAGCCCCAGCAGCUACUAUUAAUGAGUGUCUGGAAUAUGUUCCUGGCAUUUCACCUACACUCUCUCCAAUCCUUCCAAGAAACUCACAAAGCAGGGCUUUUUCUUGAACUUCUCUUCCUCACAACAGUUAAAUCAUCCAUUUAAAGAUGUCAGACAAGCUCUGUGUUCUAAGAACUGUUUACUGAGCUCUAUGGAGACAUAGCUACAAGCACCACAUGCUGGACCCCUGAAUAUGGAGGGCCAACUACACUAGAAACACACAUGCUAGCUGGGAAAGAUGCUGGCUUAAGGGGAAAAAGAAAGAAAGGGGAGUAGAAAUAGAAGAAAAGAAAUGAGAAGGAGAAAACAAAGGAGCAGGAAAAUGAGAAAAGAAAAAUGUAGGAAAAAGUUGUAAAGAUCACCAGUUUGUAGUAGAGGCCCACUCUAGGAAGGUUUGGUAAAAAGCUGUUUUGAAUCAUAAUGUUGGCUUUAUUGGCAUGUUGAAACCAUUUACCUCUGUAAUUUUCCAUUUGUUUUCCUUUCCAACUACCACUCCUCCUGCCUGAUAAAUAAAUACCAUUGCAAGA
Molecule: non-coding RNA, 651 nt
Filed under: Pongo abelii (Sumatran orangutan)
Lineage: Eukaryota; Metazoa; Chordata; Mammalia; Primates; Hominidae
Source: RNAcentral